Molecule: ribosomal RNA, 600 nt
Filed under: uncultured bacterium
Lineage: Bacteria
Description: bacterial SSU rRNA
Rfam family: Bacterial small subunit ribosomal RNA
Source: RNAcentral
GCGGCGGACGGGUGAGUAAUGUCUGGAAACUGCCUUAUGGAGGGGGAUAACUACUGGAAACGGUAGCUAAUACCGCAUAACGUCGCAAGACCAAAGAGGGGGACCUUCGGGCCUCUUGCCAUCAGAUGUGCCCAGAUGGGAUUAGCUAGUAGUGGGGUAACGGCUCACCUAGGCGACGAUCCCUAGCUGGUCUGAGAGGAUGACCAGCCACACUGGGAACUGAGACACGGUCCAGACUCCUACGGGAGGCAGCAGUGGGGAAUAUUGCACAAUGGGCGCAAGCCUGAUGCAGCCAUGCCGCGUGUAUGAAGAAGGCCUUCGGGUUGUAAAGUACUUUCAGCGGGGAGGAAGGUGUUGUGGUUAAUAACCACAGCAAUUGACGUUACCCGCAGAAGAAGCACCGGCUAACUCCGUGCCAGCAGCCGCGGUAAUACGGAGGGUGCAAGCGUUAAUCGGAAUUACUGGGCGUAAAGCGCACGCAGGCGGUCUGUCAAGUCGGAUGUGAAAUCCCCGGGCUCAACCUGGGAACUGCAUUCGAAACUGGCAGGCUAGAGUCCUGUAAGGGGGGUAGAAUUCCAGGUGUACGGUGAAAUGCGUAGA